AGACGCGACGGCAAAGGUAAACGGAACGGAGGUGUGGGAGAGGGUGAAAAGAAACUUUAUUCAAACGGGGGAAACAGAUGUUAUAACGCUAUGUUACGGAAAAUAGAUGUUGAAACUGUUUGGCGAUAGUAGCAUUGUUAAAAGGAUUUACCUUUUCAUUGUAAAAGCAUCGGCUAGUCACGAUGCCACGUUCCAGUGAAUAGGUUACGGAAACAUCCCCAAAGGAACUACGAUUGACAAGAAUAUAUGUUGCAUCUUUGUUUCACCCCAGUCACCAGAUGCAUAAUGAAGUGCCAGGUCCUAGGACUAGGUCACAGACAAAAUGUCAGAGUUCCAAGUUUGAAGGAUCUUUGUCUCAUUUCCAUCUCAAGAUCCUUGAUGAGGUACCAGGGUAGAAGGACAAGAUCCCAAAUUAAAACUUCAGUUCCUUAGGCAUAGAGCGUGAAGUAUCUUUGUCUCACUCACGUCAGAGAUCCAUGAUGAGGUGCCACAGUGCAGGGACUAAAUCACAAACAAAACAUCAGUUCCCUGGGAUUAACACUUGAAGGAUCUUUAUCUCACCUUUCCAAAUAUGGAAUAACUAGUCAUCUCAUGAUGUUAUAUUUGAAAGACGAUUGGAUGGUGCCAUCUUAGUUCAAGUGUAAUGGGGGAAAAGUUAACUUUUCAUUGGGCAGAUUUAGAAGCUCAGAACAUGCAAAGGACGUCAGAUUUUGUGCCCAUUAUAUUGUGCCUUCACAGGCAGUGCUACAAAUUUUUACUCAGAGGGUCCAGACACCAAAAUGGUACUCCAUUAUAUCACAAAAAUGAUCAUUCUGCUGAUGCAGUUGAAGAUGAUACUGAUAGAGUGAAUGAAGAUAAUUUGUAAGUUUCGCUUAUAAUGCUAUGAAUAUUGCUGUAUUUAUAUAUGAUGUUAGUUAGUGUAGUGGUUUAUUUU
Stegodyphus dumicola is the source of this 934-nucleotide long non-coding RNA. The record is from RefSeq and is a predicted model, not a curated record. NCBI's taxonomy places the organism in Eukaryota, Metazoa, Arthropoda, Arachnida, Araneae, Eresidae.